GGGAUGGAAUGGUGUGUGUGUAGGGGGCCAUUUGAAAUUUUAAAUGGGUGCUGAGGAUGUCACUGAAGUGAUAUUUGAGUCAAGAUCCAAAGGAAAUGAGGAACAAGCUAGUGUGCUAUGGGAGAUGAGGAAACUGAGACUCAAGACCCAAGGCCACGGCACUAGCAGGUGGAACAGCUGGAAUACAAAGCAUCCCACAAAUGAGGCUAAAAAUGAAGAAAGAAUUGGAGGUGGGAAGCAUCUUCUUCAUAAGAAGAGGGAUCCAGAAGACCGUCUGAGGCUCACUGAAUGCAGUUCCCCUCUUAGAAGGAUGUGGUGCUUGGAGCUGUGGCAGCCUUCUUGCCACCAUGAGGAAAAAGCCAAGAAGACAGCAGAGAUGCUGACCCAGAGCCUGGAAACUGUUGAGCCACUGAUCUAACCCUGUACCUAACUGCCAACUGGUAGACUUUCUGUCAAAAUAUUAAAAGUCCUUAUUGUUUGAGCAACUUUUAGUCAGAUAUUCUGUUACACGUAUCCCAAAGCAUUCAAACUAAUACAUCAGGGAAACUUCUAAUUUGACCUUCUCUCUUUCCUCUUUCUUCCCUGCCUUAACCCAGGGGACUCAAACUUGAUGUGAGCAGGGGCCAGUGUGGUAAUAGGGAAAGGGGAAACUGGCCUGGUCUAAGAGAAGGAAAUUGGAGCAUGAGUGUUCCUUGUAAAGGGGCUGGUGCUGGCUACGCAGCUCCAGCUGCUGGUGGCCAUGAAGGAAGGCUAGCACCAUGUGGCCAGAUGUUUCUCUUUUUCAAGAGAAAUUGGAAAACUGUAUUUUUGAAUUUUUUUAUACAAAAGUGUUUAAAAUUUUGUAUUUAAAUUUUAAAGAAGGAGACUGUAUGAACCAAACCAACAUAUCUGAGUAGUAUGUAUAGUCCAGCAGUCACACAUUUGGGACCUGGCCUUCACCUCAGAGUUCUAUCUCUCCCUGGCCUUGAUCUCAAGUGUGGGCUGUCAGUGACUUCUCUCAGACUGUGCGAUGGGGUGGGGCUGUGCUUGUGGCCUGGGUGAUAUAGGGACGGGAGAUACAGGAUGGGGGAAGGAAGGACAGAGGACAUAACUGUGGCCCGCCAUUAAGGUGGAACGUCUGUAAGACAACAAACCUUUACCCUGGGAUAAAGCUUCUCUCCGCAUAGUCCUGGGUGUGAUUUGCUAAAAGGGCCACGUCACUUUCUCCACUAAGUCCCAUGACCAGAGGCCCACUUCUCUUAUCCAAAAGCAUCUCUAUGGCUCAGGCUCUAAGAAUGAGGGCAAGGAGAGUCUGUUUCACCAAACAGCCAUGAGGCUAGGAAGCUGGAGGUAACCUGCGAAAUCGCCAUCCUGUAUGACUUCAUCAGUGCUGUAGAGACACAAGUUUUGUCUGGGAGCAAGAUUCCUUAAUCCCAUUUAACCCAAUAUAUGCUCAGUUCUUUUCAGCAAAAUAAAAACAUCCCAUGGAAAAUCCAAGGACGCUGUCUGCAGAGGAGGCUUUCACUGAAGUACCAUUCCCCUGCCAUGCUAAGAGCGGUUUGGUAGGUGGGAAAGCUCAAACGCGUCCCCCCAGGGAAGGCCUGGGCAGCUACAGACAUUGUAGACCCUUGCUAAACUAACUUUCCACGGGCCUGGGGGCUCUGCUCCUCCAGGGCGAGUCCAGAGUCCUGGUCCCUGCGUGACCCAGAUCGGUUGCUUAAUUUAAGUCUACAGGCUGUAAAAUUGGAAAUCUUCAUGUCUGCCUCUCGGUCAUCAAAUUACAAAGUUUUUGGAGUGCCUUUGUGGAGAGGCAUCAAAGAGCAAAGACGCAGUUCAUGCAGUGUUCUGUGUACAGCCCGUGAUGCCCCUCGAUGACAAGAGAGGAUGAGUCACCGCCAGCUUCGGGGACUGAGAGGGAACGUCAAUGAAGUCAUGAAUAAUAGGUGCUGUACUAACACCUAAGAAGGUUAAGGGCAGGAAUUAGUUGGCAGGGAAGAAAACAGAAUGCGGGGGAGGCCAGCCACAGUCCUCCAGAGCUUCUGGAGCUCAUUGCCAUCUGGCCGCAGAGCCAAGAAAACAGAAAAUUUCUUUCCUUUUAAAGGAAAAACAUGUGGGGGUGUUGGAGAGAGAGAUCCUUCUUCAAGGACAGAGAGGUGGACUUGAUGGCCUCUGGGAGGCUUUAUCGUGGCUGAGGGGGCUGGCAGUCAGAAAUCGGUGAAUUCGAGCACUUCUCUGAGCUUUCUGGGCUCUUGAGAAGGAAGAUUCCGCAGAAAGAAAGAGUCCAACGUUGGCCACUUCUAGGUGGACCCCAACGUCCCAGAAGUGAUAAGCAACCUUAGGAUGUGCUUCAACCCACACCAUCUAGGUAGUGAGCGGUUCAGAAGACAUUUCUUGCCCUCUGCGCUAGAAGCAAGAGGCAAGGUUAGAGAGCUGGUGGUUGUGUUUCCACGGGCCUGCCAAUCAAAUACUUUCCUGGUGAUUCCUUCUGGGAGGACGAGAAAAUGAUGAUCAUCAAGAAAAUGACCAAAUGCCUCACCAUCUGAUGGUAUCUCCACUUACUUGUCAGUCUAAGUUAAACAGAAAAAUCUCAGUGAGGGCAAGUUUAGAAGCCUGUAGACUGUCUAAGAGGACAGGAGAUGACACCAUCCCUAUUGCUUCCACUGUGAUGGAUGUUGCCGCCUCAUCAACUAUGACGUGUAGAUUGAGGGGUUCUUGGCCAAGACAAGAAAGUGAAUAACAACAAAGGUUAGGUUGCCAUAGAUUGGGUUCUCUAGAAGCAGGUGCAGAAACAGGGCUUGGCCUUAGGGAUUAACACUGGUGGAAAGAGAGUGCAGUGGGAAAGGCCAAAAAGAAUAAACUUCUGGGUUUUUUUUUUUCUUGGUGAGGAAGAUUGGUCCUGAGCUAACAUCUGUUGCCAAUCUUCCUCUUUUUGCUUCAGGAAGAUUGUCCUUGAGCUAACAUCUGUGCCAAUCUUCCUCUUUUUGCUUCAGGAAGAUUGUCCUUGAGCUAACAUCUGUGUCAAUCUUCCUCUAUUUUAUGUGAGAUGCCAUCACAGCAUGGCUUGAUCAGUGGCAUGUGGGUCCACUCCCAGGAUCCAAACCUGCAAACCCCGAAGCAGAGUGUGCAAACUUAAUCACUACGUCACCAAGCUGGCCCCUAAUAUUCUGUUGUUUUAAGCCAUUCAGUUUGUGGUAGCUUGUUAGUGCAGUCCUAGGAAACCAACACAGACCCCAACUUUCAGCUAUCUUGAGUCACCCAGCUAUUUUCUGACAGGCCAGCUCCUUGCCAGCCUCAGGUCUUUGAUGAUGUUGUGCUGGAUACACAUCAUAUUUAUAUUUAAUGCAUGCAAAUUUAACUAUUUAUUUGGCAAAAAUAAAGAGAGGUAGGCUAAUUGAUUGAGAGAGAGAGAGAGGCUGGGAGCAAGAGUGAAUUAGUGAAGCUGCUGGGGCCCGCUCUGCCCGCUCUGCCCGUGGUCAGCGGUGAGUGGAGUGGGCAGGAGCCAUGGAAGGCCUGCUCCUUCUCUCUGCUCCCAGGGACCUUGUGCUACGUGUGAGGUCAGCAUUUAAGAAUUCAUAUUCUUCAUACAACAAGCCACCUUAAAGCAAGCUCGCAGACAUAUCUGGUGCUCAGCUGAAGCAACAGCAAUUGCUUUCAGGACGAGAGGAAACACCAGUUGUGUUGGAUUUCUUGCGAGAUAGUAUGUCAUUCUCCAACGUGGUCCCUGCUGGACAGAUUUGCAAGGGUGCUUUUGAUUACUAUCUAGUUAUGAUUUUCUUUUGGCUUUAUGCAUUGAUUUUAGAACCCAAAUGCUGAGUGAGACUUGAUUCCUUCAAAUUCACUUUGCUUGGAAUUCCCCGGCGUGCUUCAACAUGCCACAUUUUCCAAAAAAUUCUCCCUUCGUGCCCUCAUCGGUGUUGAAUUUCUAGCUUCUUCAAACUUCCAUAAGUUUUCCGUCCAUCUUCUCAAUGUAUCUUCACUUACAGGAACUUGUGCACAUAGCAGCCUCCAUUAUAGAUUGCAUACAGCCAUCUCCGUUGAGAUUGGGGGCUAGAUAUCUUUGAACCUCUCCAAAGACUGGAUGGAUGGAUUGAUGGAUUGAUGAAGGAAUAAACUGAUGAGUUUAUAAAUUUCAGAGAAAAAGCAAAUGGAAACUAAUAACUGCGGUAAAGAAAGCCUGACUACACUGACACUGCCUAAUGUGAGUUUGGAUACACCAAGUGAGACUCAGAUUGACAGGUGACUCCACACUCUUACAGGCAGCUGGCUUCCUUUCUCUGUCGACUUAAAAAAAGGCCAGGCAUGGGGGCACCCCUUUAACCCACUGGCACUAGGAUACGUCUGUCUGUCUGUAUCAUCUGUAUUGCAACUCAGCUUGCUUGUCAGUUUCUCAAACAACUCUUCCUUGCACCUCCCAAUCUAAAUGAGGCCCCCUCCUCUCUGUCGUAUGCUAUCAUGGCUGCUUCUUUUUUCUCUUCAUAGCAAUUGUCAUAGUUUGAAGCCAUAUUGAUAUUUUUGUGACUUUUAGCUUAAUAUCUUUUAUACUCUCCCACCUCCUGGCUGACUUUAAACUCAAGAAAGGUCAGAUUCGUGUCUGUUUUCUUAACCCUGGUGAUCCAGUGUCCAGCUCAGCGCCUGACAUACCACUACAGCUACCCAUGUCUAGUGUGAAUCGGGGAGGACAUGUGUAUAUCUUCUGGGCUAACCCCUCAGCCUGCGCAGAAAUGUCUCCUACAGCUACUCUGAGUUAGUUCUCCAGAUCCUUCUGGAACACUCUGGCAAUGGGGACUCACUAACUGUUCUGACUGGGCAACUCUAACUGUUGGGAUGCUCUUUCUUACACGAAGCCGAAAUCCACUUCUGUGGUACUUCCACCUGUGGACACUUGUUCUGCCCGCAGCAGUUUAAGAGAAUUUUGGUCCCUCGCACUUAGCUCUGAAAAGAGUUCCCAAUUGGAUGACAGCUUCUGGCUCAGCAAUAGCGCCAACUUCUGGCCAAACCCUAGUGUACAGGUAUCCCCAUUAAACUGUGACGUGCAUAUCUGGAAACAAGGCUUUCCAGGCGCAACGAGUGCAGGGUGGAGAAGGGGGCGAUCUUUCAUCUCCAUAUCCCUGGGGAUUGAUGCGCUCCUUGUUGCUGAAAUCGAGUGAUUUCAUAGUGGUC
RNAcentral lists this long non-coding RNA (5139 nucleotides) under Equus caballus (horse). Its description in RNAcentral is "lncRNA (ENSECAG00000034558.3)". Lineage: Eukaryota; Metazoa; Chordata; Mammalia; Perissodactyla; Equidae. The record is from RNAcentral.